AGGGGGGGGGGGGGGGGUGGGUGGGUGUAAUUUCAGUGACUUUGACCAUGACAUGGUUGUUGGUGACAGUUUAAUUCUUUCAUAAACUGCUGAUCUCCUGGGAUUUUCAUGCACGCCACUCUCAGACUCAGAGACGUCAGACUGGAGAAUCGGCGGACUGGUUUCGAGCUCACAGGAAAGCUAUAGUAAUGAUGAUGAUGAUAAUAAUGAUAUGAGUCUUUAUUGGUCACAUAUACACAGUGAAAUUCUUUUCUUUGCAUACCCCAGCAUGUUAAGAAGUUGGGGUCAGAGUACAGGGUCAGCCAUGAUACAGCGCCCCCUGGAGCAGAGAGGGUUAAGGGCCUUGCUCAAGUGUCCAACAGUGGCAGCUUGGCAGCGCUGGGGCUUGAACCCCCGACCUUCCGAUCAGUAACCCAGAGCCUUAACCGCCGAGCCACCACUGCCCCCCGCCAAAUAACCACUCUUUACAAACAGGAUGAGCAGAAAAGCAUGUCACAACACACACCACAUCGAACCCCUGUUUACACGGACAGUUUCUACAUUUCGAAAUAUACCCGUACCUAAACGCGACGGAACAUGACGUUUCAAAAAAGGCAUCAUUCAGAAUCCGGAGCAAUUCCUGUUCAUUAAAAAGAAGCACGUCAGCUCUAUUGAGUUUGGGUUUCUGUAUUGAAAAUGCAGCAGAUAAAUGUCAAAUCAUUUCUACGGUUGUGGGUGUAACAACACUGACAAUAGAGGCACCUCGAUUGAAAUGCAACAGGAACUGUAGCCCUGGGCUAAAGUUCCUGUAUUUAAUUUCCCAGUGGAAAGUUGGCUACUGGGAGGGGGGAAAUACAAGAUCUCCUUCUAUUUGUCCUACAUAUUUGCCGAUCCUACGCUCUCUCCUAAUGCAAUUACACUGUCAUUUUGACAAGUUUAAUAGCUUGUGAAUGUCAGAAAAAUUGGUCAGAUUAGCCAUGCUGAGAAGCAAGCUUCUCGGUGGAUCUGCAAGUGAAGAUGAUGAACCUCUGCCCUCUGCUUAUUAGCUAAAGAAUAAAAAACAGUGGGGGGUGGUGGUGUUAUAAGAAAAUAAAUCAGUGACAGCAUGGUGUAACAUUUAAUGUUAGUUCCUGAUAACACUUAUAGUAUGUUAUAGUGGUUAUAAAGAAUCUUUCCUUCACCAGCCUCUCUUUACAGAGGGUAUGAGCGAACACGAUAAAUAUCUGUGUUGAUUUCAGGUUCUUUAAGGACCUUAAGCAAGGCAUAUUGGAUUCAAUUUUACUACAUUUAAAAUUUAAUACUGGUUUUCAGACAUUUUCAAACAGUUUGGCCCGCUCUUCUUUGCAGAACUGUGUUAAUUCAUGGGCGGGUUUCAAGCUGAAUUCCGUAUGGGUUUUGAGCCAUGCAAAGGUGGACUUGCUCUUGUGCUUCCGAUCAUUGUCUUGCUGUAAAACCCAACUGCGCUUGAGCUUCAGAUCUCAGACUGAUGACUGGUAGAGAGCAGGUCCAUCAAUUGUGGCAAGUCACCUAGGCAAUGAAGCAGCGACGUAUCCCACUACCACCACCACCACGUUUCACUGUUGGUAUGGUGUUCUUAGUGUGGAAUGUUGUGUUAGCGUUAUACCAGAUGUACCAGGACCCACGUCUUGUCAACAGAACAUUAUACCCAAAAGGCUUAGGGGUCAUCAAGGUGUCAUCAAGGUGUCAUCUUUCUAAUGGUGGUAUAAUGAAUGCUGACUGGGUUGCUGGUCUGGGUUCUUUCAUGAGUUCCUGGAUGCGUGGUCGAUGAGGAAUUUUGGUAGGCUGGCCACAUCUGGGAAGAUUCAACCCAGGGUCCCAAUUUUCAGAUAAUGGCUCUCAGUAUGGUUCGCCGGAGUCCCAGAGCCUUAGCUAUGGCUCUUCAACAAAACUAGUUUUAAAGAUAACUGAGUGGAAGUGAAAAACCCACAGCUUUUCAAUAUCGUCAGCCGAUAAAACUUAUCCUCUGACUGUUAGGUCUUAGUACCAAAACUAAUAGAAAUGAAUGAAUGAUGUAAUAUUAGUUUCCAUUCCAAGACACUUCCAAAAUCCAUCGAGAUUUCUGUUCAAAAGUUUUGAACAGCUACACUCUUCUAGAACAUCUCGGACGGUUUGAUAAAGGCAAAGAGUUGCAGUCCCACUGGAAAGCCCAUCCACACCACAAGCCAGAUAAAAGCACUGAGCUCGGGAUAAGAGAUGAAGCUGACAUUUAUAAAGAUUGCUGUUACCGUCUGCAAUUCCGCCGAGACAUUUCGACGACUCCUGCGGUCGACCGUGCCGCAACCUGAAUUCCGAACACCUGAGAAAUCAAACCCGAUAAUGGUUUUGUGUACAAAGCCCGCGGAAGAUACCAUCUGUAAUAAACGUGAAAGAAUUUCUUUUGGGCACUGGUUUCCUCGAUGAGUGACAAUUCAUCCCGCCGCCGAGAAUUAACUUUAUCUGGCGAAAUGGAUCGGUUGUGGCAUUAAUGCAGGAAAAGGCAUUUUUACCACGUUGAGAAAAAAGUGUUUUUUAGCAUCGGGAUUCUAUCUUGAGGUCGCUGAUAGUAACACAGUUCAUAGCUUUAGUCACCCAGCCAGAAAACAAUGUGACAAGCAAGUCUAAGUAAUGCAGUGUCACAGCGUGAUUGCCAUUUUACCAGCCAGCUUUAAUGGCAGAGUUAGAGAAGAAAAGAAAAGAAAAGAAAGAAAGAAGUCAAACACCAACCCCCCGACACACACACACACAAACACACUUCACUUCUCAAGUGCAUCAUGACUGCAAAAAUGGAACAAAUUGUUCUUGGAGAUGCUUGUAUAGUUUUUCCAUGUCGUGCACCACACAUAAAGAGUCUUGAGAUUUAACGACUUUAGUAAUGAAGUGUAAAAUCAGUGUGGUUCUACAGGGAGGCCCUGAAUUCAUGCUUGGAGCAACCUAGUUACUGCCUCGAGGCUUUCCCAACAUCCCAUAAAGCACAGUGUGGGGCUUCUGAGGUGUCCAUAGUGCACACAUUCGGCUAGAACUUAAUGAAGCAUCGCAUUGCAGUAGGAUGAUGGGACUAACCCUGGACAGCACUUCCAUCUACUUUAAAUCACCAGACCUAUUUAAACUGUAUCAUCAUCCAUCAAAAAAAAAAAAAAAAAUCCUUAUGUCACAGACUCCCAAACAAUCUGGUGAAAUUUCCACCCACUUCUAAGACUAAUGAGACUUUCUAAUGAAACAAUUGUACAGUUCAUUGUGCACUAAAUGCUGGAAGGGAAGGACAAAAAUAUAGUAAAUUGGCAUGACUGCGAUUGCAAGCACCUCAUUAGUCUAGUUCAAGGCUCUUGGAUUAAGUUAGCAACACUUUUCUUUAUUUGUAAUGAAGUCUCGCAAUGAUUCGCUACAUUAGGCACGUUAAAUUAUGUAUGUUAGCAAAAAUACGAUUUCGGCAUUAGGAAAUCUCUCGCCGCAUGCUUGAGGAAGAAUGUUAAAGUUCGUAAUUUAUCACGCCAACAAACUGACAGUUUCGGGUCUAAUUAAAAAAAAAAAUAAAUAAAAAAAAAACACAGGUUUACGUGUAUCAAAUGUACGCGUUUUAAUAUGAAAAUCGUUUCUAUAGUAACGGGUCAUUCGCGGAGACUUAUACGGCGGCCGUCUGGCAACCUCGGGCGAAUCAUAAACAGACUUAACUGCGUGUUUACUUAAAAAAAUGAAAAACAUCUGAUAGUUGAUAUGAUGAAGUUUUAACAUGUUUAACAUGUAUGGAAGGAGUCUCCAGUGUCAGCGUGUUGUAUGGGUCAGGAAGAUUCCCGCCACGGGGGAAAGCCUUAACGACAGAACAUUUUCUUGGCAACGACACAAGCUGUAUUUUUGUUCGUUUUUGUCUCAUUAUCUUACAAUUAUUAAUUGUUUACAGCUGCUACAACGUAAAUGGCAACAGGAACUAUCUUCUGUCGCAGACGCUACACAACAGUAAACGUAACUAUAAAGAGUCACGUAGUGACUAUAAAACGAUGGAGCUCUGAACAGUUUGAUGUGAUGUGUCAUUCUUUAAUAGAUUAAAAGUCGGAGCAGUCGCCAAAUGGCUUGGGGAUGCGAGGAAUAAAACUCAAACAAGCUAUGAAUUGCCGACAAUCUUCUCCCGACAAACUCGACUGACUGCUUAGGUAGCAAGCAAAACAGGACUUAUUGUACAGCCUCAGUCUUCCUCUGACAGCACCUCCAUAUCACACUCCACCAGAGCUUUUCUUUUAUACUGGGCUUUAAUCUCUACAACCAAUCCUUGUUUUGUUGAGCCUGCAAAGCCGGUAAGCACAGAUCUUUGUGUAUCUCUCUGCUUCAGCGUCGGAUUUGCCAUACGCUACACGGCAACGGAUACAAUAGGAGAAGAAAGAUGUCGGGGAAGAAAGAGUUCAAUUCAAGACCCCGAAUUCGAUAUGUGGUUAAACCCGAAAAUAGGCAAGCUCCUUGCGGUAGACUUUGAAGAAAUGGAAAAUUCUUUUGUGCAAAUAACCCUCUGUUUAAAGCCAUAAAAGGUUACAAGAAUAAACUAAUGUUGCACAGCCGAAAGGCAACAAUCUAACAAAUCUAUAAGCACAUUCAGGAACAGUGAUAAUCUUCUGCAUGGGGUGCGUUUUGCGGGUUGGAGGGCUGGUUUAUAUAUUAUAUACACACAUAUAUGUAUGUUGAACUUCCAGUGACCAGUAUGAGGGAGUGUGAGAGCGACGACACCAAAUUUAACACACCUGCCCCCCAUUCACACCUGAGACCUUGUAACACUAACAAGUCACAUGACACCGGGGAGGGAAGAUGGCUAACUGGGCCCGAUUUGGACAUUUUCACAUAGGGGUGUAGUCACUUUUGUUGCCAGCGGUUUAGACAUUAAUGUCUGUGUGUUGAGUUAUUUUGAAGGGACAGCAAAUUUACACUGUUACACAAGCUGUACACUCACUACUGUACAUUGUAGCAAAGUGUCAUUUCUUCAGUGUCGUCACAUGAAAAGAUAUAAUCAAAUAUUUACAAACAUGUGAGGGGUGUGCUCACUUUUGUGAGAUACUGUAAAUAAUUAUUACCCGAAUCGUACAACACGAGGCACUCGGAUGGCCCCGAAAACUCUUUGGCUGUGUAAUCCGCUACUGUUUCUACACGUUACUUUGCUACCUCUGCAACCACUCCUAGCACAUUCGUCAUAUCAUCCGACAUAGAACAUAGAAAAACACGGCAGUGCUGACCAGAACUAAGCGAAACGACUAUCUAGUUUUUCCAAGCAGCACCACCAGAAAUACUGCUGUGUGUGCAAUCGAUAUCUUCCGCCACAUUUUCCUGCAGACGCUCACUCUUUCGGUUUAUAACUUACGGGAUAUAAACCGACAGUCUGACAGACGUAAACCAGCUUUUAUGGAAGAGUCAAUCUCAAUAACAUCUCUAAAACGACCAAAUGAGACAUACAUUUCUUGCUCACUAUGCGUAAAGCUUUAUUCAUUAUGACCUACAAUAUAUUAGCACAUAAUUAGAUAUCUGUUAGCAAAAAAAUGAACCAUUCAGUUAUCAGCUGCGGAAACGAACGACUGAACAGUUUGUUAAGACUGUUGUGCAAAUUACCGAGCACGAACUUAUCAUCUGAAUUCACAUCUUACUAAUGUACAAUCAGAAACAUGUUAUUCCUACAGGUCCCAGCUAGGGUCAAGUAGGCUUGCGGUGAAUGAAGAUAGUAUUUGGACUCAUCCAUAGAUUUAGCUCAAUGGCUAUCAAGUCGGCCGAUUUAUCUGUCGGAAAAUGAUGCGCCUGCAUCUUUAAGAUCGACCAAAAAAAAAAACCAAACAAACAAAAAAAAAAAAUAGUAGUCUAUUUUGUACUCCUAUACAACCCUUAAUAGCCUGCUGUCUAACCUCGAAGCAGGGAAAGAAAACACAUUAAUCUGAUGCAUCUUCGCUUCCCUUGCUGCCAAACAGAUAAAGCCACGGAUGUCUUCACUUGCAAAACAUGAAUGUGGGUUUAAAUUAAGAAAACGUGUUAGGCUACAUCGCUACAAAAUAAUUCAACAAGUAUCUCCCAAGCUGUUCGACAUACAGCACAUGCACGCAACGUUUCUAUAAUUCACCUCAAUUCUGUAAUGAGCUUAGUUACAGCUAAUAACUCAUCAGGCUUAUUUACAGUACUGAAUUUGCAAGGAUUCCUGACUUUAAAACAUUAAAGGCCGCCAUUUAAACGUGUACACGGCACACGAUGUGUACAGUCUUUUUUUUUUAUUAUUAUUUAAAAUGGAAAUAAAGUUUCGAUAUCUGGAAUAUUUGAUGUUCGGGAUUCUGCACUAUUUCCAGGUCUCUGAUUAAAUGUAACCAGUGAAUCUGUGAUAUUGACCACGUUAACUACUUUGUACAAAGGUCGAGUUUUCCGCGAGUCUUAUACAUGCCGUUAAAGCCCGUGUUCAGAUGACACUACCAUGGAUUUGAUACAACAUGAGUCCUCAGGUUUUACAAACAAAUGGAGUCCAUGCACUGUCUUUAUAGCAAAAGGGGGGCAUGGGAAUAUAUAUAUAUAUAUUUUUUUUUUAACACUGAAGACAUUUGGGUUUGAGAUCAAAAGCUGAAGAUGAGUUGACAGAUCAGGAUCUCAGUUCCUCAUAUUUACACCUAGAUGUGUUAAACAACUUCAAACAUGGCACCUAUUGUUCGAACCCACUCAUUUGUUUGUCAAGUGAUCAAAAAUAUUGGAACACGACUGAUCAAUGUUUCUUGCUGCCCACGGUGUGCCCUGUUGAAUGGACUGUUUACAGAAUUAAUCGUUCGGAAUGUAUAAAUGUGAUGGAAAUGCCAAAGUGUGGAGAAAGAACGGAUCUGCUCGUGAUCCAAAACAUAGAAGGUGGUCAGUCAAGCAUGGUGGAGGUAGUGUCAUGGCUUGGGUUUGCAUUGGCUGCUUCUGGAACAGGCUCGCUAAUCUUUACUGAUGAUGGAACUCAUGAUGGUAGCAGCAGAAUGAAAUCAGAAGUUUACAGAAAUACUCUGUGUCAAUUUACAGAGAAAUGCUUCCAAAUUAAUUGGGAGGAACGUCAUCAUACAGCAAGACAAUGAUCCAAAACAUACUGCCAAUGCCGUUGAUGCCGUUAUCGCAACCAAAAGUGUCCGUAGUGUAUGAAUGGGUGUGCGAGUGUGUAUGUGAGUGUGUGAUGGACUGGCACCCUGUCCAGGGUGUACCCCGCCUCAUGCCCGAUGCUCCCUGAGACAGUCUCCAGAUUCCCCGUGACCUGAAAAGGAUUAACCGGUAGAAGAUGGAUGGAUGUUUAUGAUGUUGGAAUGCGUCACAUGAUUUUAAUACUUAAAAAAAAAAAAAAAGACAAAUACUUUAAGAUGUCCAGUUUAAUUGUGGAGGAGUGUUUACAUGGACGAAACACAACACACGGUGUGACCAGCAGCGCAGCUCCCUCAGCAUCAUUCAUUAUUCAUGCAUCUGAUGCAGGCGCGAACAGCAAUACGAGCAAUAUUCUAGGUUUAUUUCACAUUCUCUGCCUUUCUUUGCAUUAUGUAUCUCCAGGCGAGUCUACAUUUUUUUUCGUUUGUCAGUGUUGCUUGUUCUGUCCGUGCAGGCCCUCUGUGAUCUGGACUGCUUUUCCAUAGAGAAAGCUCUUUAAAGUGUACUGCAGCACCAAAGAGCCGACAUAAACAAGGUUCUCUCUUUUCUGUCCGUCCUGGUUUGUAGUCGACUCGGACAUCGGAAUUUGGCUCGGAGCCCGGUCCACGCACUCGUAAGCGUCAGCGCAAGUUUUCACUGAAGGUGAAGCAACCACCACUGGCGUCAUUUUUUUUUUUUCCCUCAUCUUUUCGAAAGUCUUUGCACUUCUGAUAUAUUUCCCUGGCCUUUAGGAAACUUUAAAAAGUGCUUUCAUAUAUCUUUUGUUAAUGAUUGGGAUGAAUGAGAAGGACGAUACCAAUUAGCAGACCUCUUCAUCAUCUACUCUAAAACGACGCUUUCUUUUCUUUUUUUUUAAAUUCCCUCAGGUGUGGUGUUAAAUUUGGAAAAAAUAAAUGCACUACCUCUGUUUUACUUUUUUUUUUUUUUUUUUUUUUUACUGCAGCCAAACUAUCAUCAUACUUCCACCAACCAAAACACAGCAGUUCCUUAAUAAAAACUGCUAGUCAGGAUGACUCAAAUGAUUAUUUGUAGUCUAUUCAUUUAAGGAUUUUUUUUUAAAAAUAAUAAUUAUUUAAUAUUUUAAUCAACUGAGAAUGUACUCUUAACAGCCAUGUUCAGGGAAAACAAAUUCGAAUCGCUUUAUGGCGGCUUAAUUUAAUCAAAACCUUUAAUAUGAAUAAUAAAAACAUACAAAAUGGCAGUCACGGUGAUUAGCAUUGUUUACGAGGUGGAUAAUUAGCAUGCACAGACCGCAACCGCCAGUCUUGGUUUUAAUACACGUCUUUUUAACCAGGGUUUCCUGGAUAGAAAUUUUUGGGGCAAAUGACCCCAAAUGGACAUUACGAAUUUUCUAUAACCGCAAUCCUUCACCGAGCCUUGCAUUUGUAAAUCGAUAUUUGUUAAACGUUUGUUUAUUUUCAUGCUUGUUUUCCCAAGACCACCGAGUCAGUCACGAGAUGUUGUCAAGGAGGACCUAGUGGAGGUAGAUGGAUGGCUUAAUUUAUUUUUUUCCGAACUCAAGUUAGCAAAAAAAUACCAGCAUAGCACACACACACACACGUAUAUUUGUAAUAUUAAUUUGUAAACUAACUUAAUAAAACAAAAGAAGGGACCCCCACUUGUAACUCAAGCGACUUCAUAUGAGGUAAAGUCCCUUUGUUUGGGAAUCUCUGUUUAAAACAUGGCUAGAGUAAAUGAAGAGGCUAUAUUUGCUCGAUAUACUGUACACAUCAGGAAUGCAUUCAAACGCAUUUAGAGGAAAUCCAUCCAUCCAUCUUCUAUAGCGCUUUAUCCUUUUCAGGGUCACGGGGAAACCUGGAGCCUAUCGCAGGGAGCACCGGGCACAAGGCGGGGUACACUCUGGACAGGGUUCCAGUCCAUCGCAGGGCACAAUCACACACACACUACGGACACGCCAAUCUGGACACGCAUGUGUUUGGACUGGGGGAGGAAACCGGAGUACCCGGAGCACGAGAACAUGCAAACUCCGCACACACAGGGUCACGGUGGGAAUCGAACCCCUGACCCUGGAGGCGUGAGGCGAACGUGCUGACCGCUAAGCCACCGUGCGCCCCGCGUUUACAGGAAAUCGUAUAAUCGUUAUACAGUCACUUGGUGGAAUUCGAUGCGGCUCUUUUUCCUCUUUAACCUGCUCAGUGUGUAUCUCUCUUUUUCUGACUCCAGUGCAUUUAAUAAGCAUGUGCUUUCGUUUUGCAUUUCUAUUCUCGGUUACUACGUGAAAAUGACUAGGAUUCCUGUCAUUUAGUGAAGGCCUUCUGGAAUCCCUGUCUCUGCUAUAGAUUCAUAGUACAUUUGCAGUUAAAAUCAAAAGGUGUUUUUUUCUUUUCCUCAUUUGUUAUAAAUAACCAGAGAAAACUGAGGAAGUGUUUGCCAAUUUCCUAUCUGACAUCCAGCGCCAGCACAGCUACUGUUAAUGUCAAGCCUUGCAUAUGCGUAGGCUGAUUUCCAAUGUAGUUUUAAUGGAAUAAUCCAAAUUUGGCUACAGAUGGAGAGAGACGAACUGAAGACAAAAUAAAUAAGAACUUUCUGAAACUACUUGAAAUACCUCCCGGCUAGUACUGCCAACUCGCUGCUCUCAUCUCUCCAUCUCCGCACUCCUAUAAAAAGGUUGUUUAAUGAGUUACACUGUAAUUGUAUCAUUGAAAGGUUACAGCGUGUCUUUUAACGCGAGGCCACUUUGUUAUUUAAUACACGGAGGGAAAAUGAACAAAAUGUCAAACCUGAUACGAUUAGGCAAUCGCAAAAAUCGCACAAUUUCAAACGUUCACCAACGACUGUAGGAGAAACACCUGUACAACCGCUCAUUCAUGCGAUUUUAUCCAGUCGGCCAAUCACGCGGCAUGUAUAAAAUCACGCGGAUGCAGGUCCUCAGUUAAUGUUCGCGUCAAACUUCAGGAUGCUGGAAAAAUGCGCUCUUGGUGAUUUUGACCAUGGCAUGGUUGUUGAUGCCUUACAGGCUGGUUUGAGUAUUUCAGAAAGUGCUGAUCUCCUGGGAUUUUCACGCAUCUCGAUCUCUAACGUUUACACAGAACGGUGCGAAAACAAACAUCCACUGAGCAGCAGGUGAAUGGGGAAAAUGCUUUGUUUGAUGAAAGAGAUCAGAGAAUGACCAGAGCUGACCGCAAGGCUACGGUAACUUGAAUAGCACCUCGUUACAACCGUGAUGAGCAGAAAAGCAUCUGGGCAGAUGGGCUUCAAGAGCGAAAGUCCACAUCGGGUUCCACACCUGUCAGUCAAGAACAGGAAUCUGAGGCAACGGUGGACACAGGCUCACCGAAACUGGGAUUGGAAAAACACUGCAUGAUUUGGCCGUCAGCAGACCGUCUUUCACUAGGCGGAUCGUUUAGCACGAACGGAUGGCGGAAGGAUCGUUUCGGAAACAGGAACAUGCAGGUAUGUGGAAAGGCUGAUGAAAUCGAGCAAAAUAAAAAGCUGUCAUAUAACUCUCUCGCUACCACAACAUGAGGUCAGCUCAGAGCUGGCCUGAAUAAUAUCUUUUAGAUGUGAUGCAAGAAGAGAACACCACCACCAUCUCAUAGCCAAAACUUCAGCUAAUCACUUGCUGACUUUUUGCUGAGGUUACAAACAUGAUGUGCAACACUGGGAAAUUAUAAUAUUACAAGUCAUCAGUUGGCAGGAAAUUCCUUUACCAAAAAAAAUGGGAACUGACUUGUUUCGUAGACCCUUUAGACGUCUUUUAUAGACACUUGUAGAAAGGCAAUAUUAGAAAAGAGCCUAUAAAUAAUUAAAUAAAUAAAAGAUCUUUAAAUCAAUUAUGGGUGCCAAUGUGCGUAUCGGGUACCUUUUAAUGCAAGCUUUUUUUUUUUUUUUUACAUUUAUGAACGUGACUAUAUCUUUAGCCUUCUUCAUCAAAAUCUUUACCAUCUUUAUUCCAAAUUGAACUCCGACUAUACACCGAUCAGCCAUAACAUUAAAACCACCUAAUACUGGGUAGGGCCGCCUUGUGUCGCCAAAACAGUUCUGAUGCGUCGAGGCAUGGACUCCACAAGGCCUCUGAAGGUGUGCUCUUUCUCUUUCUUUCGCAUGGUGUUCCCUAAUGGCAGCGGCCGCUGCCAUGAAGGGAGGUACUUGGUCUGCAACAAUGUUUAGGAAGGUGGUACAUAUCAAAGUAACAAAAACAUCCACAUGAUUGCCAGGACCCAAAGUUUCAGAGCAGAACAUUGCCCACUACCUUCGCAGGCUUGCCUUCUUCCCCAUAGUGCAUCCCCAUGCCAUCUCUUCCCCAAGUUAGCAAUGCACACGCACCCAAUCGUCCAAGUGAUGUAAAAGAAAACGUGAUUCAUCAGACCAGGCCACCUUCUUCCACUGCUCCAUGGUCCAGUUCUGUUGCUGAUUGAUGCCCAUUGUCGAUGCUUUCAGUGGAGGACCGGGGUCAGUACGGGCACUCUGAAUGGUCUGUGGCUUCACAGCGUCAUACGCAGCAAGCUUUCCAUCAUAGCAAGCAUUAACCUUUUCAGCAGUUUGUGCUACGGUAGCUCUUCUGUAGGAUUAGACCAGAUGGGCUACCCUUCGCUUCCUUGGACCACUUCUUGUAAACUUCACGGGAGCUAUCCAGCAAGCCGGGUCAAUUAAAAAUGCCUUGCUUUUGGCCAUAUAGUGGCCGUGAGUCAUUUGGGAUUCAGUCUACUUUCUGGUCUGACCAUCACUGUUACCAGUGCAUUACCAUUACCACUGCAACAACGGAAAACAAGCUUGGCUUUGUCAAGACCAGUAAUCCAGAAAGGCGCAGCAGGCUUUUUUUUGUUUGUUUUGUUUUGUGGGGUUCUCCUCAUUUAAGUAGAUGGGAGCCUGGUCUUGUAUGACUAGAAAUAACUCCCCUGGAGCAUUUCCAAGACACUAUAAGGGUUUUGCUGUUUCAGACACAUCACACCCACAAUGCAAGGAUGCCCAUGACUCUAGACUUUACCCAAUAAUCUUUAUAUAAAAAAGUAUCUCUUAUAUUGUUUAAAAAAAAAAAGUCUUAAAAAAU
Ictalurus punctatus (channel catfish) is the source of this 12097-nucleotide long non-coding RNA. The record is from Ensembl. Lineage: Eukaryota; Metazoa; Chordata; Actinopteri; Siluriformes; Ictaluridae.